GAUGAACGCUGGCGGCGUGCCUAAUACAUGCAAGUCGAGCGAACGGACGAAGCUUGCUUCUCUGAUGUUAGCGGCGGACGGGUGAGUAACACGUGGAUAACCUACCUAUAAGACUGGGGUAACUUCGGGAAACCGGAGCUAAUACCGGAUAAUAUUUUGAACCGCAUGGUUCAAAAGUGAAAGACGGUCUUGCUGUCACUUAUAGAUGGAUCCGCGCUGCAUUAGCUAGUUGGUAAGGUAACGGCUUACCAAGGCAACGAUGCAUAGCCGACCUGAGAGGGUGAUCGGCCACACUGGAACUGAGACACGGUCCAGACUCCUACGGGAGGCAGCAGUAGGGAAUCUUCCGCAAUGGGCGAAAGCCUGACGGAGCAACGCCGCGUGAGUGAUGAAGGUCUUCGGAUCGUAAAACUCUGUUAUUAGGGAAGAACAUAUGUGUAAGUAACUGUGCACAUCUUGACGGUACCUAAUCAGAAAGCCACGGCUAACUACGUG
RNAcentral lists this ribosomal RNA (495 nucleotides) under uncultured bacterium. RNAcentral describes it as "partial 16S ribosomal RNA". It matches the Rfam family "Bacterial small subunit ribosomal RNA", at positions 28 to 507 of the family's 1533-position model. The record is from RNAcentral.